GCGGCGUGUGGUGUAACGGCUUGCACGCGGCGCUGUGAACGCCGAGGAGCGGGGUUCGACUCCCCUCACUGCC
This 73-nucleotide transfer RNA is filed under the name Urbifossiella limnaea. RNAcentral's name for it is "Planctomycetes bacterium ETA_A1 tRNA-His". The stretch from base 6 to 69 matches the Rfam family "tRNA", at positions 5 to 66 of the family's 71-position model. Rfam says of the family: Transfer RNA (tRNA) molecules are approximately 80 nucleotides in length. Their secondary structure includes four short double-helical elements and three loops (D, anti-codon, and T loops). The record is from RNAcentral. Lineage: Bacteria; Pseudomonadati; Planctomycetota; Planctomycetia; Gemmatales; Gemmataceae.